Molecule: ribosomal RNA, 745 nt
Filed under: uncultured bacterium
Lineage: Bacteria
Description: bacterial SSU rRNA
Rfam family: Bacterial small subunit ribosomal RNA
Source: RNAcentral
ACGCUGGCGGCAGGCCUAACACAUGCAAGUCGAGCGGAUGAAGGGAGCUUGCUCCCUGAUUCAGCGGCGGACGGGUGAGUAAUGCCUAGGAAUCUGCCUGGUAGUGGGGGACAACGUCUCGAAAGGGACGCUAAUACCGCAUACGUCCUACGGGAGAAAGUGGGGGAUCUUCGGACCUCACGCUAUCAGAUGAGCCUAGGUCGGAUUAGCUAGUUGGUGAGGUAAUGGCUCACCAAGGCGACGAUCCGUAACUGGUCUGAGAGGAUGAUCAGUCACACUGGAACUGAGACACGGUCCAGACUCCUACGGGAGGCAGCAGUGGGGAAUAUUGGACAAUGGGCGAAAGCCUGAUCCAGCCAUGCCGCGUGUGUGAAGAAGGUCUUCGGAUUGUAAAGCACUUUAAGUUGGGAGGAAGGGCAUUAACCUAAUACGUUAGUGUUUUGACGUUACCGACAGAAUAAGCACCGGCUAACUCUGUGCCAGCAGCCGCGGUAAUACAGAGGGUGCAAGCGUUAAUCGGAAUUACUGGGCGUAAAGCGCGCGUAGGUGGUUUGUUAAGUUGGAUGUGAAAUCCCCGGGCUCAACCUGGGAACUGCAUCCAAAACUGGCAAGCUAGAGUAGGGCAGAGGGUGGUGGAAUUUCCUGUGUAGCGGUGAAAUGCGUAGAUAUAGGAAGGAACACCAGUGGCGAAGGCGACCACCUGGGCUCAUACUGACACUGAGGUGCGAAAGCGUGGGGAGCAAAC